Molecule: ribosomal RNA, 659 nt
Filed under: uncultured soil bacterium
Lineage: Bacteria
Description: bacterial SSU rRNA
Rfam family: Bacterial small subunit ribosomal RNA
Source: RNAcentral
GCAAGUCGAACGGCAGCACAGGGUAGCUUGCUAUCCGGGUGGCGAGUGGCGGACGGGUGAGUAACGCGUAGGAAUCUACCUUUUCGUGGGGGAUAACCCGGGGAAACUCGGGCUAAUACCGCAUACGCCCUACGGGGGAAAGCGGGGGACCUUCGGGCCUCGCGCGGAACGAUGAGCCUGCGUCCUAUCAGGUAGUUGGUGAGGUAAUGGCUCACCAAGCCGACGACGGGUAGCUGGUCUGAGAGGACGACCAGCCACACUGGGACUGAGACACGGCCCAGACUCCUACGGGAGGCAGCAGUGGGGAAUAUUGGACAAUGGGGGAAACCCUGAUCCAGCAAUACCGCGUGUGUGAAGAAGGCCUUCGGGUUGUAAAGCACUUUUAGCAGGAAAGAAAGACAAUGCGCUAAUACCGCAUGGUUUUGACGUUACUUGCAGAAAAAGCACCGGCUAACUCCGUGCCAGCAGCCGUGGUAAUACGGAGGGUGCAAGCGUUAAUCGGAAUUACUGGGCGUAAAGCGCGCGUAGGCGGCUUGUUAAGUCGGAUGUGAAAUCCCCGGGCUCAACCUGGGAACUGCAUUCGAUACUGGCUGGCUAGAGUGUGGUAGAGGGAAGUGGAAUUCCAGGUGUAGCGGUGAAAUGCGUAAAUAUCUGGGGGG